GAUGAAGAACGUAGCGAAAUGCGAUACUUGGUGUGAAUUGCAGAAUCCCGUGAACCAUCGAGUCUUUGAACGCAAGUUGCGCCCGAAGCCAUUAGGCCGAGGGCACGCCUGCCUGGGCGUCACACGUCGUUGCCCCCCCAUCUACUCCUUCGGGAUUGCGGGGGGCGGAUGAUGGCCUCCCGUGCGCCUCGUCGCGCGGUUGGCAUAAAUGCCAAGUCCUCGGCGACGCACGCCACGACAAUCGGUGGUUGCGAAACCUCGGUUGCCCGUCGUGUGCGGUCGUCGCGCAUCGAGGGCUCGAAAAAAUUGCCGGGCUCCGGCUCGGCUUUCAACGCGACCCCAGGUCAGGCGGGGUUACCCGCUGAAUUUAAGCAUAUCAAUAAGCGGA
Molecule: unclassified non-coding RNA, 388 nt
Filed under: soil metagenome
Description: partial contains 5.8S ribosomal RNA, internal transcribed spacer 2, and large subunit ribosomal RNA
Rfam family: 5.8S ribosomal RNA (bases 1-122)
Source: RNAcentral